AGAACGAACGCUGGCGGCAUGCCUAAUACAUGCAAGUCGAACGAACACUUCGGUGUUAGUGGCGCACGGGUGCGUAACGCGUGGGAAUCUGCCCUUGGGUUCGGAAUAACAGUUGGAAACGACUGCUAAUACCGGAUGAUAUCGAAAGAUCAAAGAUUUAUCGCCAGGGAUGAGCCCGCGUAGGAUUAGCUAGUUGGUGAGGUAAAGGCUCACCAAGGCGACGAUCCGUUAGCUGGUCUGAGAGAUGAUACAGCCACACGUGGGACUAGAGACACGGCCCAGACCUCCCGACGGGAGGCAGCAGUAGGGAAUAUAGGACAAGUGGAGACAAGCCUGAAUCCAAG
RNAcentral lists this ribosomal RNA (344 nucleotides) under uncultured soil bacterium. RNAcentral describes it as "bacterial SSU rRNA". It matches the Rfam family "Bacterial small subunit ribosomal RNA", at positions 26 to 391 of the family's 1533-position model. The record is from RNAcentral.